This 557-nucleotide long non-coding RNA is filed under the name Homo sapiens (human). RNAcentral's name for it is "HSALNT0381851". The record is from RNAcentral. Lineage: Eukaryota; Metazoa; Chordata; Mammalia; Primates; Hominidae.
UGAUUCUCCUGCCUCAUCCUCCCUCGUAGCUGGGAUUACAGUUCUCUUGCAGGAUCUCCUUCCCAGCCUUCAGAAAUUGCCGGUCUGGGAGUUGGGGGCAAGGAGAAGAUCCUGAAUUAGACCUUUACGAGAAGCACAGUUUUGUCUUCAGUUUCCUCUCCCCCCACCCGGAAUGGCCUGAGCCGAAGCCAGCUCCCUCCGAGAAGUCAUUACCGCCUGACUUGCGUUUGAUAUUUAGACACCUUGGUCACAACAUCUUGCAUUCUCUCGGGAUGCUGAUUUCUAACUGCUCUUUGGCCUUUCCUGCAUUGGUCCUCCUCAGGCAGGGGAUCCCUGCUCUUCUAUAUUAAUGCUGGCUCCCCGUCCCCUGUCCACCAUGAGUCAAAGCAAUGUGAGUCCCUCACCAGAUGCAACUGCCCAGUCUUGGACUUUCCAGUGACCAGAAUCAUGAGCCAAAUAAACCUCUUUUCUUUAUGAAUUACCCAGCCUCAAGUAUUCUGUUAUAGCAAAACAAAACAGACAAAGACAGUUUACCUACUUACUUACUAACUCAGGAA